UGAAGAACCGAAGCCAAUUUGUUCCUUCUCAAGUCAAGCAAUAUAAUUCUAGAUAUAAAACAUAGUAAGAUGACCAUUUAGCGUUCGACUACACAGAGAUGGACGAUUUGGCUUCGUGCAUGUCUCAUGUAUUUCAUUAACGAAAUAGGAAAAUAUAGAAAUGUCGUAUUAUAUUUAAUGAAAAGGUGACAUAAUUUUACUAUUGGUAAGCUAUGUAUAUCUGGCCAAUCUAAGGUAAAGACCUCUUUUGUUACGGAAUUUCAUAAGCCCCAUUUAGUCCCGGAAAAGUGAACAAUGUUUUUUUUAUUCCGCAAAGUGUUCACGUGGGAGAAGUCCGAAUGAUAUUUAUUUUCAAGAUAAAAUUCUUAGGUCUCUGCUCUUUUAGUCCAAUCGUAUUAUUUGUAUAGUUUUCGUGGCAAUUAAAAAUACUAUAUAAUAUAUAACAUUUCGACCUCCACCACGAUGUAUUAUUCAGUUUUUAUACAUUACAGCGGUGCGUGAACGCGAUAGACAAUUAUUGGUUUGCAAUACAUAUUCUUACAUAAAUAUCUAUAUUUCUUGUUAUGACAUGUAGAUUGUAUAUACUUGGUUUCUAGAAAAAGGAAAUUAUUUUGUCGACGUUCAUAAUGUUCAGAGAUGGAUCCAGGGAUUUGUAGGUUGGGUUUGGUACACAGAGAUAAAAUUUAGUCAAAAUAAUAGUUUAAGUCUUGAAUUUAUAACUCAUUAUAACAAUAUUUUUAUCUAAUGCUUUUGCGAGAUGUAUAAUAAAUGCUAUCAAAAUGAAGUCUGGGUUCCGCCUGUAAUACUGAUAUAUAUAGUUACACUUUUGUUAAUGGUCAAAUUGGGGUAUUUUAUAAAUGCUUGUCUGAGUUAUGAUCGCUCAAUGUAUAUUUUAUAAUUUAAUAAUUAUGGCAGAAGGUGCAUCGUGUUUUUAUAUGUAGAUGCAAAAUGGUCUCAAAAGGUGAUGUUUAUCAUAUUUUCUGUUCCGAGCGUCUCGGUGGUGUAGUUGUAUUGCGUGCGCAGUAGGACACCGUUCUGAAAUCCCGGGUUUGAGUUCUGGGUCGCAGUGAUAUUGGGUUUUUUGUUUAGUGCCAGCCUGGAGUCUGGAAUUUGUCCCUGAUAUAAUAGGCUCACUAAUCAUAGGAUUGAAUAAGUCCGUGCAGUCGAUGUCUUUAACUACAAUUUUAAGAAUAAAAUGCGGGGGUGGUAUUUCUUUAUUUUUUGUUCGACUGUUUUAUUAUAUAUUAUAUCGAACAUAAACUCAGAUAUUUUAAAACUAUAUUUAUAAUUACCAAAAUUAGACCAUAACAAAAAAUGACUUGUUAAAAUGGAUUUUGUUGUAAAUAGUGUUUCGUUCCUUACGUAUCUGAUGGUACAUUGUUUAAUAUUCUCGUAUAGUUAUAAAGAAUAAAGUAUUUACGUUAUAAGGUU
Molecule: long non-coding RNA, 1431 nt
Organism: Manduca sexta (tobacco hornworm)
Lineage: Eukaryota; Metazoa; Arthropoda; Insecta; Lepidoptera; Sphingidae
Exons: 2
Source: RefSeq, a predicted model, not a curated record